Molecule: ribosomal RNA, 508 nt
Filed under: uncultured bacterium
Lineage: Bacteria
Description: SSU rRNA
Rfam family: Bacterial small subunit ribosomal RNA
Source: RNAcentral
AGGACGAACGCUGGCGGCGCGCUUAACACAUGCAAGUCGAGCGAGAACCAGGGCUUCGGCUCUGGGGACAGCGGCGAACGGGUGAGUAACACGUGGGUAAUCAACCCUCGACAUCGGGAUAGCCCGGGGAAACCCGGAUUAAUACCGAAUGCUCCGUCUGGCCUUCGGGCCGGCCGGAAAAGGUAGCUUCGGCCUCCGGUCGGGACGAGCCCGCGGCGGAUUAGCUUGUUGGUGGGGUAAAGGCCCACCAAGGCGACGAUCCGUAGCUGGUCUGAGAGGACGAUCAGCCACACUGGGACUGAGACACGGCCCAGACUCCUACGGGAGGCAGCAGUGGGGAAUCUUGCGCAAUGGGCGAAAGCCUGACGCAGCGACGCCGCGUGAGGGAAGAAGGCCUUCGGGUUGUAAACCUCUUUCAGGAGGACGAAGCCACUCGGGUUAAUAGCCCAGAGGGUGACGGUACCUCCAGAAGAAGCCCCGGCUAACUACGUGCCAGCAGCCGCGGUAA